UACAGAGGGUGCAAGCGUUGUUCGGAAUUAUUGGGCGUAAAGGGCGCGUAGGCGGUGCGGUAAGUCUGCGGUGAAAUCUCCCGGCUCAACUGGGAGGCUGCCGUGGAAACUGCCGUGCUUGAGUGUGGGAGAGGUGAGUGGAAUUCCCGGUGUAGCGGUGAAAUGCGUAGAUAUCGAGAGGAACACCUGAGGUGAAGACGGGUUGCUGGGCCGACACUGACGCUGAGUGCGCGAAAGCCAGGGGAGCAAACGGG
RNAcentral lists this ribosomal RNA (254 nucleotides) under uncultured prokaryote. RNAcentral's name for it is "partial 16S ribosomal RNA". It matches the Rfam family "Bacterial small subunit ribosomal RNA", at positions 524 to 776 of the family's 1533-position model. The record is from RNAcentral.